GAUGUUAAUAGUGGGAAGCAGCUAUCAAAAUAGCAAAAUUUGGAUAGUUUUGAGCAGCAUGCUGUUUAAUUGGGCGGGUUUUGUUUUGCAAUUUCUUCAUGACUUUUCUUCUCUUUGAUGGAGGUCUUGACCCUGUUAUAAAAAAGUGGGAAAAUAGUAAGUGUUAAUGUUGAUGAAUGGGGAAAAUCGAGUUAGGACAAUAAUCAUAAACAUCUAAUUAUGUAUAAACAGGAAUAAUAUAAUUUAACAAUUUAAUAAGAAAGUUAUAAAUGGUUUUCCAACUGAGGAAACACAAAGUAACGAAAGUAAGAGAACUAAUGGUUUUCCAUACUUAGAUCCUCUGCAGUCCAACAUGCCUCUAUUGAACCAGCUCAUGAUAAGGGAGUACAAGAAACUCAAGAGACAUGCUUUGAGACUCAACCUUCAUAUACCCAAGGAUUAAGUGCUGGGAAAAAAAAAGGCAGAGGGAAGGCCAAGGGAGGAAAAGGAAAGGGUAUGCUGAUUGAAAUAUAUAAGGGAAGGUGCGUGGAAUUGGAAGAAAAUCAUGGGCAUUUGAAAGAGGAAUUGAAUGAUGUCAAAAGUCAAUUGAACACUUUGCAACAACAAGUUCAAAUGCUGAUUAACAAUAACCCACAAAAUUCUGCUCACUGUGCAAGGCAAUCACCUAAUGCGGACAAUGUUGCAAGUUGUUCUGAUGCUUAUCUUAGUGACAAUGUCGUGGAGGAGCCCAACUAGUUCUUUUAUCAUCUCCCAAAUACAUUUUAUUUAGUAAUGUCAGACUUAGAAACUAUAUUCAAAUUUAAGAAUUUGGAGACAUA
This is a non-coding RNA of Prunus avium (sweet cherry), 818 nucleotides long. The record is from RefSeq and is a predicted model, not a curated record. Lineage: Eukaryota; Viridiplantae; Streptophyta; Magnoliopsida; Rosales; Rosaceae.